UCGUGCAAGCAAGUGUGAUGGAUUGGGCAAUUGCUGCCAGGAAAUUCGCAUAUGAUCCACAUCAUUCAAUGUAACAAGUACUGCUGAACGUGGAGUAACUGAAGCAGCGUGGUGCCAAAUGAACAGCUGGUCCUGGAAGACAUGAAGGCAGCAAGGGCGUUAAUUACCAUAUCCUCCAAUAGCUUGUUCAGCGGUGGAACCAUGGUGAGAUUGCUCAAGGA
This 221-nucleotide long non-coding RNA is filed under the name Elaeis guineensis (African oil palm). RNAcentral's name for it is "long non-coding RNA (EGUI_LNC078551)". The record is from RNAcentral. Lineage: Eukaryota; Viridiplantae; Streptophyta; Magnoliopsida; Arecales; Arecaceae.